CGGGUGAGUAAUACAUCGGAACGUGUCUUCUAGUGGGGGAUAACUGCCCGAAAGGGCAGCUAAUACCGCAUGAGACCUGAGGGUGAAAGCGGGGGAUCGCAAGACCUCGCGCUGGAAGAGCGGCCGAUGUCCGAUUAGCUAGUUGGUGAGGUAAAGGCUCACCAAGGCGACGAUCGGUAGCUGGUCUGAGAGGACGACCAGCCUCACUGGGACUGAGACACGGCCCAG
Molecule: ribosomal RNA, 228 nt
Filed under: uncultured bacterium
Lineage: Bacteria
Description: partial 16S ribosomal RNA
Rfam family: Bacterial small subunit ribosomal RNA
Source: RNAcentral